RNAcentral lists this ribosomal RNA (254 nucleotides) under uncultured bacterium. Its description in RNAcentral is "partial 16S ribosomal RNA". It matches the Rfam family "Bacterial small subunit ribosomal RNA", at positions 524 to 776 of the family's 1533-position model. The record is from RNAcentral.
UACGUAGGGUGCGAGCGUUGUCCGGAAUUAUUGGGCGUAAAGAGCUCGUAGGCGGUCUGUCGCGUCGGUCGUGAAAACUUGGGGCUUAACCCUGAGCUUGCGGUCGAUACGGGCAUGACUGGAGUUCGGCAGGGGAGACUGGAAUUCCUGGUGUAGCGGUGAAAUGCGUAGAUAUCGGGAGGAACACCAGAGGCGAAGGCGGCGAACUGGACAGUAACUGACACUCAACUGCGAAAGCGUGGGGAGCAAACAGG